GGGGCCAUAGCUCAGAUGGGAGAGCGCUUGCAUGGCAUGCAAGAGGUCGCGCGUUCGAAUCGCGUUGGCUCCA
This 73-nucleotide transfer RNA is filed under the name Sedimentisphaerales bacterium. Its description in RNAcentral is "tRNA-Ala". It matches the Rfam family "tRNA". Rfam says of the family: Transfer RNA (tRNA) molecules are approximately 80 nucleotides in length. Their secondary structure includes four short double-helical elements and three loops (D, anti-codon, and T loops). Further hydrogen bonds mediate the characteristic L-shaped molecular structure. tRNAs have two regions of fundamental functional importance: the anti-codon, which is responsible for specific mRNA codon recognition, and the 3' end, to which the tRNAs corresponding amino acid is attached (by aminoacyl-tRNA synthetases). tRNAs cope with the degeneracy of the genetic code in two manners: having more than one tRNA (with a specific anti-codon) for a particular amino acid; and 'wobble' base-pairing, i.e. permitting non-standard base-pairing at the 3rd anti-codon position. The record is from RNAcentral. Lineage: Bacteria; Pseudomonadati; Planctomycetota; Phycisphaerae; Sedimentisphaerales.